AGAGUUUGAUCCUGGCUCAGAACGAACGCUGGCGGCGUGGAUAAGACAUGCAAGUCGAACGAGAGAAUUGCUAGCCUGCUAAUAAUUCUCUAGUGGCGCACGGGUGAGUAACACGUGAGUAACCUGCCCCCGAGAGCGGGAUAGCCCUGGGAAACUGGGAUUAAUACCGCAUAGUAUCGAAAGAUUAAAGCAGCAAUGCGCUUGGGGAUGGGCUCGCGGCCUAUUAGUUAGUUGGUGAGGUAACGGCUCACCAAGGCGAUGACGGGUAGCCGGUCUGAGAGGAUGUCCGGCCACACUGGAACUGAGACACGGUCCAGACACCUACGGGUGGCAGCAGUCGAGAAUCAUUCACAAUGGGGGAAACCCUGAUGGUGCGACGCCGCGUGGGGGAAUGAAGGUCUUCGGAUUGUAAACCCCUGUCAUGUGGGAGCAAAUUAAAAAGAUAGUACCACAAGAGGAAGAGACGGCUAACUCUGUGCCAGCAGCCGCGGUAAUACAGAGGUCUCAAGCGUUGUUCGGAAUCACUGGGCGUAAAGCGUGCGUAGGCUGUUUCGUAAGUCGUGUGUGAAAGGCGCGGGCUCAACCCGCGGACGGCACAUGAUACUGCGAGACUAGAGUAAUGGAGGGGGAACCGGAAUUCUCGGUGUAGCAGUGAAAUGCGUAGAUAUCGAGAGGAACACUCGUGGCGAAGGCGGGUUCCUGGACAUUAACUGACGCUGAGGCACGAAGGCCAGGGGAGCGAAAGGGAUUAGAUACCCCUGUAGUCCUGGCAGUAAACGGUGCACGCUUGGUGUGCGGGGAAUCGACCCCCUGCGUGCCGGAGCUAACGCGUUAAGCGUGCCGCCUGGGGAGUACGGUCGCAAGAUUAAAACUCAAAGAAAUUGACGGGGACCCGCACAAGCGGUGGAGUAUGUGGCUUAAUUCGAUGCAACGCGAAGAACCUUACCUGGGCUUGACAUGUAAUGAACAACAUGUGAAAGCAUGCGACUCUUCGGAGGCGUUACACAGGUGCUGCAUGGCCGUCGUCAGCUCGUGUCGUGAGAUGUUUGGUUAAGUCCAGCAACGAGCGCAACCCCUGUUGCCAGUUACCAGCACGUGAAGGUGGGGACUCUGGCGAGACUGCCCAGAUCAACUGGGAGGAAGGUGGGGACGACGUCAGGUCAGUAUGGCCCUUAUGCCCAGGGCUGCACACGUACUACAAUGCCCAGUACAGAGGGGGCCGAAGCCGCGAGGCGGAGGAAAUCCUAAAAACUGGGCCCAGUUCGGACUGUAGGCUGCAACCCGCCUACACGAAGCCGGAAUCGCUAGUAAUGGCGCAUCAGCUACGGCGCCGUGAAUACGUUCCCGGGUCUUGUACACACCGCCCGUCACAUCAUGGAAGCCGGUCGCACCCGAAGUAUCUGAAGCCAACCGCAAGGAGGCAGGGUCCUAAGGUGAGACUGGUAACUGGGAUGAAGUCGUAACAAGGUA
Molecule: ribosomal RNA, 1470 nt
Filed under: metagenome
Description: bacterial SSU rRNA
Rfam family: Bacterial small subunit ribosomal RNA
Source: RNAcentral